Molecule: long non-coding RNA, 1555 nt
Organism: Pseudoliparis swirei
Lineage: Eukaryota; Metazoa; Chordata; Actinopteri; Perciformes; Liparidae
Exons: 6
Source: RefSeq, a predicted model, not a curated record
CGGAAGUGAAUUUACUAUAAAACCAACUGAACUUCCGUUUCCGUCCCUUUCGACCGCGACAUCGUGGUCUGGAUACGACGUGUUCACGUGCUCUCCCACUAUACCCAGUGGACACGAUGUCUGGUUCAGCUGCAGAUAGAGGAGGAGGAGGAGGAUGUGCUCGAACUAUCCUGGUAUCACACCGCUCAGCCUCCCGGGGAAAGUUUAUACCAGGGUGCUGGAAAGGAGGCGCCGACCGUUGUUGACCUGGACUUCCAGGUGGAUGAGUGUCCACAAGAGGAAGCAUGUGUCGAAGUGUGCCAGAGUGAUAUGGCCGGGUUUUCGCUAACACCAUUGAGGACUGCUGUCCAAUGACUGGGGUUUGAUAGUGACCUGAGCUACAUUUGAACAUUAAAUACUAGUGUGCUUUUUUUCUUUUCUUCUCACUCUACUAACUGGGUACUUCCUGCGUCUUCUCUCUGCAGGUGUUUACAUUAACGUGAGGAAGACCUGGUGGCAGCCUGGGCCACACUGGUGGCAGCGAGAACCAUGGGAUCUCCUCCGGGGAUUCAGGACAGGUAUAGAUGAAGCAUCCCAUAGGAUGAUACGUUAUUUGUCUUUAACUUAAACUUUGAAUUGGCAUGUGUUAAAGCACACAGUUACUAAAUUAAUAUUUUUGUUUAGCUUCUGCAGCCUUACGGUGGGCAGGUAUGACCACUAGCUUAUGGUUGCUACAGAACAACUUUCUCUGAGUCCCUUUACUGUUUCUUUUCCUCUUGUGUUAUUCUUAUGAUGUGGUCACUGCUCGGCAAAAGUUACGUUUUUAAUGCUUUAAAGAGAAAAAGUUGCGCUUAUCCUAUUGCACUAAACAAGCAGCACAUCAUUAAAGCCUGGCACUGAGCUCGUCUGUGUUUAGGUGUCGAAGUGUGCCAGAGUGAUAUGGCCGGGUUUUCGCUAACGCCAUUGAGGACUGCUGUCCAAUGACUGGGGUUUGAUAGUGACCUGAGCCACAUUUGAACAUUCAAUACCAGUGUGCUUUUUUCUUUUCUUCUCUUACGCUACUAACUGGGUACUUCCUGCUGUCUUCCCUCUGCAGGUGUUUACAUCAAUGUGAGGAAGACCUGGUGGCAGCGAGAUCCCAUAGAUCUCCUCCGGGAUUACAGGACAGAUAUACAUGAAACAUCCCUUAGGAUAACAAGUUGUCUUGAAAUGGCAAGCAUUAAAGCACACUUACUAAAUUGAGUGUUUACAUCAACGUGAGGAAGACCUGGUGGCAGCCUGGGCCACACUGAUGGCAGCGAGAACCAUGGGAUCUCCUCCGGGGAUUCAGGACAGGGUCUUUUGGAGGAUGAGGUGUGCCAUCUCCAGGUAGCUCCCCUGGGAAAUCAUGCCUGAGCUCUACUUCGACAUGAGUCCAGAGUGGGGUGCCCAUAAUGUUCCUGAAGGCUGUUCGCCAGCUCCUGCUGCACAGACUGCGAGAGUGCUAGCUUUCUGACUGGUCCGAUCAAACAAAGCACCUGAAAAAUGCACAACACUGAGCUGAGAAAUCAAUAAAGUUGGCUGAUUAUUCACAAAA